This is a long non-coding RNA of Sciurus carolinensis (gray squirrel), 397 nucleotides long. RefSeq lists it as uncharacterized. Lineage: Eukaryota; Metazoa; Chordata; Mammalia; Rodentia; Sciuridae. The transcript has 3 exons. The record is from RefSeq and is a predicted model, not a curated record.
GAAGUGGAAGUGGUGCAUGAAGGCUUUUUCGCUGCUGCUAUUAGGAAUAUUUCCAUAUUUUAAUGGCAAGAAGUCUCUGAGAUGAUUUUGGUUUUGUGGUACCUCUGGGGAGGCCCUGGACCAGAUCUUCCUUCAGACUCCAGGUCACCUUUUCCUAACAGCUCUACUUGAAUUCACAAAGGAGCAGUAAGUCUCAGGUUCCUGAGAGAACAAGAGUUGCAACCCAGUGUGACCAUGCCAACUAAUUGAAUCUCACCUCGGAAACUCACAACUCUGGCUCCAGAGAAUCAUGACAGCUCAUGUGAGUAUUGCUCAUCAUCCAAUAAACUGAACGAGCAACUGGAGAAAGCAAAAGAUCAUUUCAACAAAGAGAUAGAGAUUCUCAAAAAAAAAAAAA